RNAcentral lists this ribosomal RNA (253 nucleotides) under uncultured bacterium. Its description in RNAcentral is "partial 16S ribosomal RNA". It matches the Rfam family "Bacterial small subunit ribosomal RNA", at positions 524 to 776 of the family's 1533-position model. The record is from RNAcentral.
UACGUAGGGGGCAAGCGUUAUCCGGAUUUACUGGGUGUAAAGGGAGCGUAGACGGCAUGGCAAGCCAGAUGUGAAAUACCGGGGCUCAACCCCGGGACUGCAUUUGGAACUGUUAAGCUGGAGUGUCGGAGAGGCAGGCGGAAUUCCUAGUGUAGCGGUGAAAUGCGUAGAUAUUAGGAGGAACACCAGUGGCGAAGGCGGCCUACUGGACGGUGACUGACGCUGAGGCUCGAAAGCGUGGGGAGCAAACAGG